RNAcentral lists this long non-coding RNA (256 nucleotides) under Lathyrus oleraceus (garden pea). RNAcentral's name for it is "Pisum sativum (pea) long non-coding RNA (PSAT_LNC007015)". The record is from RNAcentral. Lineage: Eukaryota; Viridiplantae; Streptophyta; Magnoliopsida; Fabales; Fabaceae.
AUUAAUCCUAUUGGUCUUGACAAUUUCAUAAUUUUUAGGUGUUCUGCUUAUAUGCAUAUAUCUGGUGAAUAUCGAUCUAAACUUGAUCCAAGGUCGAAGAAAUGUGUCUUUGUCAGUUACAUAAAAGGCGUGAAGGUACUCAAGUUAUGGGUUCCGAUUAAAAAGAAGAUGGUAAUCAACAUAAAUGUUAUUUUUUGUUGAGCAGUUAACCUUGAAGUAGUUAGUUACAAUAGAUGUAUCAGCAUCUGAAGAAGAA